Molecule: ribosomal RNA, 460 nt
Filed under: uncultured bacterium
Lineage: Bacteria
Description: bacterial SSU rRNA
Rfam family: Bacterial small subunit ribosomal RNA
Source: RNAcentral
CUACGGGAGGCAGCAGUAAGGAAUAUUGGUCAAUGGAGGAAACUCUGAACCAGCCAUCCCGCGUGCAGGAAGAAGGGGCUCUGCCUUGUAAACUGCUUUUGCAUGGGACGAAAAAGCGAGAUUUAUCUUGAACUGACGGUACCAUGAGAAUAAGCACCGGCUAACUCCGUGCCAGCAGCCGCGGUAAUACGGAGGGUGCGAGCGUUAUCCGGAAUCACUGGGUUUAAAGGGUGCGUAGGCGGUUGUAUAAGUCAGUGGUGAAAGGCCGUAGCUUAACUAUGGGAUUGCCAUUGAUACUGUAUAACUUGAGAGAGGUUGAGGUUGGCGGAAUGUGGCAUGUAGCGGUGAAAUGCAUAGAUAUGCCAUAGAACAUCGAUUGCGAAGGCAGCUGACUGGACCUUAUCUGACGCUGAGGCACGAAAGCGUGGGGAGCGAACAGGAUUAGAAACCCUGGUAGUCC